This 112-nucleotide non-coding RNA is filed under the name Clostridium intestinale. RNAcentral describes it as "SAM-I sequence". It matches the Rfam family "SAM riboswitch aptamer (S box leader)". Rfam says of the family: The SAM riboswitch is found upstream of a number of genes which code for proteins involved in methionine or cysteine biosynthesis in Gram-positive bacteria. The SAM riboswitch acts at the level of transcription termination control. RNAcentral also lists the same sequence under 1 other name. Lineage: Bacteria; Bacillati; Bacillota; Clostridia; Eubacteriales; Clostridiaceae. The record is from RNAcentral.
CACUUAUCGAGAGAGGUGGAGGGGCUGGCCCUAUGAAACCCAGCAACCCAUAAGUUUUCAUUUAGACUUACAGGGUGCUAAUUCCUGCAACUAUUUAGUUGGAAGAUAAGGA